Molecule: long non-coding RNA, 860 nt
Filed under: Olea europaea subsp. europaea
Lineage: Eukaryota; Viridiplantae; Streptophyta; Magnoliopsida; Lamiales; Oleaceae
Source: RNAcentral
CUUGGACCAUACAACAUAUCAUUUGUCAAAGCCGAUGGGAUGAAAUUGGGAGACAUUUGUUGUUGUGUAAAUGUAUGACUAUCGCCAGCACCCUACACAUAUCAUAAUGUAACUAAAAUUGCCUUAGGUAUUCCAUGAUAGACACAAUCGAAUGAGACGUACCAUCAGAAGUUGUGAGUAUGAGACUAGUGCCUGCAUGUAGUACGAGAUAGAUUCGACUUCUGCCAAUUUACUUAGGCUUGCCUUAGGUCUCCUCCCCCUGAAGUUGGACGGGACUGCAUAACACAAAAAAAAUUAUUACUACUAUGCGCUUUCUUACAAAACAAAAUAAAUUGCAAAGUACCUUUGUUUUAUUAGAAUUCGAUUCCAGGUAGCUUUUCCUUUGGAGUUUCUUUGCUGCAACUUUUUUGUUCGAGCAUUUCGGAUCUUGUACACGUCCCUUCUCCAAGUCUUAACCGUCUCACUUGUUCAACAUAAUUUCAACAAUUCUUUUCGAUGCAAGUCAUAUUCUCAUACCCCCCCCCCAACUUCUAUAACUACAGAGUUGAAAAUUUUGUGCAACAGAAUCCAUGCCAUGACGUUCACUUCAAGUUGUCGUUUGAUAUGGGCACUCAAUUCUCGGUUGCAACGAUACAACCUGGACUUCGACGGGCUAGUUUUAUGAUUGUGAAUGAGAUUGACUAUAUUAAUUCUUCAUAUUCCGCAUGCAUCUACAGAUGCAAUCAGCCUAGCUUUACAACAUGUCUGAAUGGUAACGUGCAGCUUCAUAGAACUACUCAUGAUACUAUUUCUUCAACCUUCACAACUACAUAUAAACACAAUAUAUCUCACAAUUCCAUCAUCAUCUUUUUGCGAAUUUU